Drosophila navojoa is the source of this 307-nucleotide long non-coding RNA. NCBI's taxonomy places the organism in Eukaryota, Metazoa, Arthropoda, Insecta, Diptera, Drosophilidae. The record is from RefSeq and is a predicted model, not a curated record.
AUAUUUAACAGUUUUACUCUAGUUGGUUUUUUUUGCAUUCGAAAUUGCAUUUUUUAUUUUUUGUCGUUUUUUCCAUACAAAUUCAUAGCAAUUGGUAUGCGUGUAUGUGUGUGUUCCUAUUCGUCUUUGUGUUUGUGUGUGUGUGUAUGUGUGUGUGUCUAUACAUUAUCUUUUAAGCUCGUGUGUAAACGUAUUUGCUUUGCAUUCAGUUUAUCUAUCUUGUGUGUAUUCUGUUUUUUCUGCUCUUCUGAUCCUCUGGCUUCUCGCUUCUUGCCAAUUGCUAUAUUGAGUUCAGUUUCUUGAUAUA